Molecule: ribosomal RNA, 404 nt
Filed under: uncultured bacterium
Lineage: Bacteria
Description: bacterial SSU rRNA
Rfam family: Bacterial small subunit ribosomal RNA
Source: RNAcentral
UGGGGAAUCUUGGACAAUGGGGGCAACCCUGAUCCAGCCAUGCCGCGUGAUCGAUGAAGGCCUUAGGGUUGUAAAGAUCUUUCAGCUGGGAAGAUAAUGACGGUACCAGCAGAAGAAGCCCCGGCUAACUCCGUGCCAGCAGCCGCGGUAAUACGGAGGGGGCUAGCGUUGUUCGGAAUUACUGGGCGUAAAGCGCACGUAGGCGGACCAUCAAGUUGGGGGUGAAAUCCCGGGGCUCAACCCCGGAACUGCCUCCAAGACUGCUGGUCUGGAGGUCGAGAGAGGCGAGUGGAAUUCCGAGUGUAGAGGUGAAAUUCGUAGAUAUUCGGAGGAACACCAGUGGCGAAGGCGGCUCGCUGGCUCGAUACUGACGCUGAGGUGCGAAAGCGUGGGGAGCAAACAGG